UUUGAAGGAAUCGUGUAUCCCACAAGC
Molecule: non-coding RNA, 27 nt
Filed under: Rattus norvegicus (Norway rat)
Lineage: Eukaryota; Metazoa; Chordata; Mammalia; Rodentia; Muridae
Source: RNAcentral